Molecule: ribosomal RNA, 492 nt
Filed under: uncultured bacterium
Lineage: Bacteria
Description: partial 16S ribosomal RNA
Rfam family: Bacterial small subunit ribosomal RNA
Source: RNAcentral
AGUGAACGCUGGCGGUAGGCCUAACACAUGCAAGUCGAACGGCAGCACAGUAAGAGCUUGCUCUUACGGGUGGCGAGUGGCGGACGGGUGAGGAAUACAUCGGAAUCUACUUUUUCGUGGGGGAUAACGUAGGGAAACUUACGCUAAUACCGCAUACGACCUACGGGUGAAAGCAGGGGAUCUUCGGACCUUGCGCGAUUGAAUGCGCCGAUGUCGGAUUAGCUAGUUGGCGGGGUAAAGGCCCACCAAGGCGACGAUCCGUAGCUGGUCUGAGAGGAUGAUCAGCCACACUGGAACUGAGACACGGUCCAGACGCCUAAGGGAGGCAGCAGUGGGGAAUAUUGGACAAUGGGCGCAAGCAUGAUCCAGCCAGACCGCGUGGGUGAAGAAGGCCUUCGGGUUGUAAAGCCCUUUUGUUGGGAAAGAAAAGCAGCAGGUUAAUACCCCGCUGUUCUGACGGUACCCAAAGAAUAAGCACCGGCUAACUUCGUG